Molecule: ribosomal RNA, 465 nt
Filed under: uncultured Klebsiella sp.
Lineage: Bacteria; Pseudomonadati; Pseudomonadota; Gammaproteobacteria; Enterobacterales; Enterobacteriaceae
Description: bacterial SSU rRNA
Rfam family: Bacterial small subunit ribosomal RNA
Source: RNAcentral
CCUACGGGUGGCUGCAGUGGGGAAUAUUGCACAAUGGGCGCAAGCCUGAUGCAGCCAUGCCGCGUGUGUGAAGAAGGCCUUCGGGUUGUAAAGCACUUUCAGCGGGGAGGAAGGCGUUAAGGUUAAUAACCUUGGCGAUUGACGUUACCCGCAGAAGAAGCACCGGCUAACUCCGUGCCAGCAGCCGCGGUAAUACGGAGGGUGCAAGCGUUAAUCGGAAUUACUGGGCGUAAAGCGCACGCAGGCGGUCUGUCAAGUCGGAUGUGAAAUCCCCGGGCUCAACCUGGGAGCUGCAUUCGAAACUGGCAGGCUAGAGUCUUGUAGAGGGGGGUAGAAUUCCAGGUGUAGCGGUGAAAUGCGUAGAGAUCUGGAGGAGUACCGGUGGCGAAGGCGGCCCCCUGGACAAAGACUGACGCUCAGGUGCGAAAGCGUGGGGAGCAAACAGGAUUAGAUACCCCGGUAGUC